Molecule: long non-coding RNA, 1278 nt
Organism: Mesocricetus auratus (golden hamster)
Lineage: Eukaryota; Metazoa; Chordata; Mammalia; Rodentia; Cricetidae
Exons: 4
Source: RefSeq, a predicted model, not a curated record
GAACACACUGAACCCAGUCCUUCUCCUUCUUACUCAGUUCUGAAGUGUGGGAAGAAGGGAAUGGAUACCGGUUGGAUAUGAGCACACCGAGUGAGGGACUGUCUGUGGCCUACAUGAAGAUCUUCUGCAGAAUGCCUUUGACAGAAAUGCCGUGCAGUCAGAAUUAGAUGCAAGCCGUCAGUGCCAUUUGCAUGCAUAUGGACCAGGCCCAGGCAUCUGCGGGCAGAGGCCUUUACAGCAUUGUAUAUUGAUUACAAGCAUGGAAUCUGCAAUGAGACUGUAAUGAAGUCAGCUUUUCUGCAAAUAGCAACAUGAGGUUGUAAAGAAUUAAUGUAUAAGCAUUCUUGAACAUCAUCUCCCUCUCUAAGGAGAAGAACCACCAAAUUUUCCCAACACCACCAAGCCCUACAUGGUGCCUUUCCUCCCUCAAUCCUCUGCUUGGAGCCUAUCUUACUUUUUCCUUUUCAAAGUGUUUAGAAAAAGUUCGUGUUCAGGGUCAAACACACAGGUAAUUGUGGAGGGAGAAGAAACAUUGAUCUAAAGUGGUCGAGUGUUCCAGGCAUGGGAAAUAAACUGAGCUCUGCUCAGGUUACUGGCAGAGAUUCACAGGGAGAAACUCCUGCAUCUGUUUCCCAUUGUGUCUAAAGGGCUCACUCAGAGACUGGCCCACAAGCAGGAUGAAGGUGCUGAGGCUGCCUGCAGCCCGACCUCGGCCGCAGUACUGGGGAAAGCCCAUCCAGGACUUGACUUACCAUUACUAUCGCAUGACUAUUUUGGAGUAUGACUUCUGGAGUUUGAUUCAAAGAAUUUCUAACUACUGGAAAUAAAAAAACAGAACAGCUAAGUCCCUAUUAGUCUUCUUCAAGCUCCCCAAACACAAAGAUUUUUGACUUCUUUAUGGACAUAGAAGAUAAGAUUUUGGAGCUGGAGAUAAUCUUGAAGACAAGCCACCCUCUGCAAAUGAGUUGCUACCAAAACCUCUUGUCGUUUUAAAAUUGUAUUUGCUGUCUUUAGGUGGGUAGACUAAAGAAAAACACCUAUUAGCCUUUGCGGUAACACUCUGAAACUAGAAAGGAGGGAACAUGGAUCCAUUUGUAGCAGCAACACCCUGCUCUCCUUUCUACACUGAUGUCCCAGCAGACACAGCAGACACUGGGACCUUACUUGCACGGAUGCCCAGCAGACAUGGUCUGCUUGAUACGAAAUGCCUUUAAACAUUGUCACGGGAAGGUUCUCCAGCCUGGCUCAUGUAAGAAAACAUCUAUUGUUGCUAUUAAA